GUCUCGGUGGUGCAGUGGUGGUAACACGCGCCCCCGAUAUGGUUGAAACGUGGGGUUUAAGUCCCGCCUGGGAUC
Parelaphostrongylus tenuis is the source of this 75-nucleotide non-coding RNA. Lineage: Eukaryota; Metazoa; Nematoda; Chromadorea; Rhabditida; Metastrongylidae. The record is from the annotation of a GenBank genome assembly.